Molecule: ribosomal RNA, 2712 nt
Filed under: Klebsiella pneumoniae
Lineage: Bacteria; Pseudomonadati; Pseudomonadota; Gammaproteobacteria; Enterobacterales; Enterobacteriaceae
Description: bacterial LSU rRNA
Rfam family: Bacterial large subunit ribosomal RNA
Source: RNAcentral
CCGGCGAUGUCCGAAUGGGGAAACCCAGUGCAAUUCGUUGCACUAUCGUUAACUGAAUACAUAGGUUAACGAGGCGAACCGGGGGAACUGAAACAUCUAAGUACCCCGAGGAAAAGAAAUCAACCGAGAUUCCCCCAGUAGCGGCGAGCGAACGGGGAGCAGCCCAGAGUCUGAAUCAGCUUGUGUGUUAGUGGAACGGUCUGGAAAGUCCGACGGUACAGGGUGAUAGUCCCGUACACCAAAAUGCACAGGCUGUGAACUCGAAGAGUAGGGCGGGACACGUGGUAUCCUGUCUGAAUAUGGGGGGACCAUCCUCCAAGGCUAAAUACUCCUGACUGACCGAUAGUGAACCAGUACCGUGAGGGAAAGGCGAAAAGAACCCCGGCGAGGGGAGUGAAAAAGAACCUGAAACCGUGUACGUACAAGCAGUGGGAGCACCUUCGGGUGUGACUGCGUACCUUUUGUAUAAUGGGUCAGCGACUUAUAUUCUGUAGCAAGGUUAACCGUAUAGGGGAGCCGCAGGGAAACCGAGUCUUAACUGGGCGUUAAGUUGCAGGGUAUAGACCCGAAACCCGGUGAUCUAGCCAUGGGCAGGUUGAAGGUUGGGUAACACUAACUGGAGGACCGAACCGACUAAUGUUGAAAAAUUAGCGGAUGACUUGUGGCUGGGGGUGAAAGGCCAAUCAAACCGGGAGAUAGCUGGUUCUCCCCGAAAGCUAUUUAGGUAGCGCCUCGUGAAUUCAUCUUCGGGGGUAGAGCACUGUUUCGGCUAGGGGGUCAUCCCGACUUACCAACCCGAUGCAAACUACGAAUACCGAAGAAUGUUAUCACGGGAGACACACGGCGGGUGCUAACGUCCGUCGUGAAGAGGGAAACAACCCAGACCGCCAGCUAAGGUCCCAAAGUCAUGGUUAAGUGGGAAACGAUGUGGGAAGGCACAGACAGCCAGGAUGUUGGCUUAGAAGCAGCCAUCAUUUAAAGAAAGCGUAAUAGCUCACUGGUCGAGUCGGCCUGCGCGGAAGAUGUAACGGGGCUAAACCAUGCACCGAAGCUGCGGCAGCGACACUAUGUGUUGUUGGGUAGGGGAGCGUUCUGUAAGCCUGCGAAGGUGACCUGUGAGGGUUGCUGGAGGUAUCAGAAGUGCGAAUGCUGACAUAAGUAACGAUAAAGCGGGUGAAAAGCCCGCUCGCCGGAAGACCAAGGGUUCCUGUCCAACGUUAAUCGGGGCAGGGUGAGUCGACCCCUAAGGCGAGGCCGAAAGGCGUAGUCGAUGGGAAACAGGUUAAUAUUCCUGUACUUGGUGUUACUGCGAAGGGGGGACGGAGAAGGCUAUGUUAGCCGGGCGACGGUUGUCCCGGUUUAAGCAUGUAGGCUGGUUGUCCAGGCAAAUCCGGAUAAUCAAGGCUGAGGUGUGAUGACGAGGCACUACGGUGCUGAAGUAACAAAUGCCCUGCUUCCAGGAAAAGCCUCUAAGCAUCAGGUAACAUUAAAUCGUACCCCAAACCGACACAGGUGGUCAGGUAGAGAAUACCAAGGCGCUUGAGAGAACUCGGGUGAAGGAACUAGGCAAAAUGGUGCCGUAACUUCGGGAGAAGGCACGCUGGUGUGUAGGUGAAGUCCCUGCGGAUGGAGCUGAGACCAGUCGAAGAUACCAGCUGGCUGCAACUGUUUAUUAAAAACACAGCACUGUGCAAACACGAAAGUGGACGUAUACGGUGUGACGCCUGCCCGGUGCCGGAAGGUUAAUUGAUGGGGUUAUCCGUAAGGAGAAGCUCUUGAUCGAAGCCCCGGUAAACGGCGGCCGUAACUAUAACGGUCCUAAGGUAGCGAAAUUCCUUGUCGGGUAAGUUCCGACCUGCACGAAUGGCGUAAUGAUGGCCAGGCUGUCUCCACCCGAGACUCAGUGAAAUUGAACUCGCUGUGAAGAUGCAGUGUACCCGCGGCAAGACGGAAAGACCCCGUGAACCUUUACUAUAGCUUGACACUGAACAUUGAGCCUUGAUGUGUAGGAUAGGUGGGAGGCUUUGAAGCGUGGACGCCAGUCUGCGUGGAGCCAACCUUGAAAUACCACCCUUUAAUGUUUGAUGUUCUAACGUUGGCCCCUUACCGGGGUUGCGGACAGUGUCUGGUGGGUAGUUUGACUGGGGCGGUCUCCUCCCAAAGCGUAACGGAGGAGCACGAAGGUUAGCUAAUCCUGGUCGGACAUCAGGAGGUUAGUGCAAUGGCAUAAGCUAGCUUGACUGCGAGCGUGACGGCGCGAGCAGGUGCGAAAGCAGGUCAUAGUGAUCCGGUGGUUCUGAAUGGAAGGGCCAUCGCUCAACGGAUAAAAGGUACUCCGGGGAUAACAGGCUGAUACCGCCCAAGAGUUCAUAUCGACGGCGGUGUUUGGCACCUCGAUGUCGGCUCAUCACAUCCUGGGGCUGAAGUAGGUCCCAAGGGUAUGGCUGUUCGCCAUUUAAAGUGGUACGCGAGCUGGGUUUAGAACGUCGUGAGACAGUUCGGUCCCUAUCUGCCGUGGGCGCUGGAGAAUUGAGGGGGGCUGCUCCUAGUACGAGAGGACCGGAGUGGACGCAUCACUGGUGUUCGGGUUGUCAUGCCAAUGGCACUGCCCGGUAGCUAAAUGCGGAAGAGAUAAGUGCUGAAAGCAUCUAAGCACGAAACUUGCCCCGAGAUGAGUUCUCCCUGAGACUUUAAGUCUCCUGAAGGAACGUU